This 406-nucleotide ribosomal RNA is filed under the name uncultured bacterium. Its description in RNAcentral is "partial 16S ribosomal RNA". It matches the Rfam family "Bacterial small subunit ribosomal RNA", at positions 29 to 526 of the family's 1533-position model. The record is from RNAcentral.
AUUGAACGCUGGCGGCAGGCCUAACACAUGCAAGUCGAACGAGUGGCGGACGGGUGAGUGAUUUCUGGGAAACUGCCCGAUGGAGGGGGAUAACUACUGGAAACGGUAGCUAAUACCGCAUACCAUCGGAUGUGCCCAGAGGGGAUGAGCUAGUAGGUGAGGUAACGGCUCACCAAGGCGACGAUCCCUAGCUGGUCUGAGAGGGUGACCGGCCACACUGGAACGGAGACACGGUCCAGACUCCUACGGGAGGCAGAAGUGGGGAAUAUUGCGCAAUGGGCGCAAGCCUGAUGCAGCAAUGCCGCGUGUAUGAAGAAGGCCUUCGGGUUGUAAAGUACUUUCAGCGAGGAGGCGUUACCCGCAGAAGAAGCAACGGCUAACUCCGUGCCAGCAGCCGCGGUAAUAC